CUUGUUACAAGAAAUUUUGAAGGGGUCAUGUGACUAUCCCAGGAUCUGGAUUCCCCAAAAUAGCGGCGUGUCAGGAUGAUAGUUGUUCAAGUUACGUCACUGCAAUAUCCUGAAGUUCCUUCAGUUUCUGCCAGCAUUCACUGAUCCUCAUCCAAGUGAAACGCUUUGACUGCGGCUUUAGACCAAAGAGCUGGCCUCAGGGGCAAGAUUGUAGACCUGCACAAGACUGAAAUUGACUGCAAGAGCAUCAACAAGAUUGCAGACCUACACAAGACUGGGAUGGACUACAAGACUGUAGACCUGCACAUGACUUGAAUGGAUUACAAGACCAUGAACAAGAUUGUAGACCUGCACAAGACUGGAAUGGCCGAGAAGACAAUCACCAUCACCCUGAUUGUAGACCUCCGCAGCUGGAAUGGACUUCAAGACCAUCAAACUGAUUGUAGACCUGUACAAGACUGGAAUGGGAUACAAGACCAUGAAAAAGAUUGUAGACCGACAUAAGUCUGGAAUGAACUAUAAGACCAUCAACAAAAUUGUAGACCUACAUAACUGGAAUGGACUACAAGACCAUGAACACGCUUGUAGACCUGCACAAGGCUAGA
Dunckerocampus dactyliophorus (ringed pipefish) is the source of this 605-nucleotide long non-coding RNA. RefSeq lists it as uncharacterized. The record is from RefSeq and is a predicted model, not a curated record. NCBI's taxonomy places the organism in Eukaryota, Metazoa, Chordata, Actinopteri, Syngnathiformes, Syngnathidae. The transcript is spliced from 3 exons.